Molecule: transfer RNA, 59 nt
Filed under: Camelus ferus (Wild Bactrian camel)
Lineage: Eukaryota; Metazoa; Chordata; Mammalia; Artiodactyla; Camelidae
Rfam family: tRNA
About the family: Transfer RNA (tRNA) molecules are approximately 80 nucleotides in length. Their secondary structure includes four short double-helical elements and three loops (D, anti-codon, and T loops).
Source: Rfam by way of RNAcentral
AGGGGUAUAGCUUAUUGGUAGAGUGCUCAGGGUCCUGGAUUCAAUUCCCAGUACCUCCA